Molecule: ribosomal RNA, 351 nt
Filed under: Salmonella enterica subsp. enterica serovar Typhimurium
Lineage: Bacteria; Pseudomonadati; Pseudomonadota; Gammaproteobacteria; Enterobacterales; Enterobacteriaceae
Description: bacterial SSU rRNA
Rfam family: Bacterial small subunit ribosomal RNA
Source: RNAcentral
AACAGGAAGCAGCUUGCUGCUUUGCUGACGAGUGGCGGACGGGUGAGUAAUGUCUGGGAAACUGCCUGAUGGAGGGGGAUAACUACUGGAAACGGUGGCUAAUACCGCAUAACGUCGCAAGACCAAAGAGGGGGACCUUCGGGCCUCUUGCCAUCAGAUGUGCCCAGAUGGGAUUAGCUUGUUGGUGAGGUAACGGCUCACCAAGGCGACGAUCCCUAGCUGGUCUGAGAGGAUGACCAGCCACACUGGAACUGAGACACGGUCCAGACUCCUACGGGAGGCAGCAGUGGGGAAUAUUGCACAAUGGGCGCAAGCCUGAUGCAGCCAUGCCGCGUGUAUGAAGAAGGCCUU